CUCCUAUUGGAGGCAGCAGUGGGGAAUAUUGCACAAUGGGGGAAACCCUGAUGCAGCGACGCCGCGUGAGCGAAGAAGUAUUUCGGUAUGUAAAGCUCUAUCAGCAGGGAAGAAGAAUGACGGUACCUGACUAAGAAGCACCGGCUAAAUACGUGCCAGCAGCCGCGGUAAUACGUAUGGUGCAAGCGUUAUCCGGAUUUACUGGGUGUAAAGGGAGCGCAGGCGGUGCGGCAAGUCUGAUGUGAAAGCCCGGGGCUCAACCCCGGUACUGCAUUGGAAACUGUCGUACUAGAGUGUCGGAGGGGUAAGUGGAAUUCCUAGUGUAGCGGUGAAAUGCGUAGAUAUUAGGAGGAACACCAGUGGCGAAGGCGGCUUACUGGACGAUAACUGACGCUGAGGCUCGAAAGCGUGGGGAGCAAACAGGAUUAGAUACCCUGGUAGUCCACACCGUAAACGAUGAUUACUAGGUGUUGGAGGAUUGACCCCUUCAGUGCCGCAGUUAACACAAUAAGUAAUCCACCUGGGGAGUACGACCGCAAGGUUGAAACUCAAAGGAAUUGACGGGGGCCCGCACAAGCAGUGGAGUAUGUGGUUUAAUUCGACGCAACGCGAAGAACCUUACCAAGUCUUGACAUCCUGCGACGGUUCUGGAAACAGAACUUUCCUUCGGGACGCAGAGACAGGUGGUGCAUGGUUGUCGUCAGCUCGUGUCGUGAGAUGUUGGGUUAAGUCCCGCAACGAGCGCAACCCUUAUGGUCAGUUACUACGCAAGAGGACUUUGGCCAGACUGCCGUUGACAAAACGGAGGAAGGUGGGGAUGACGUCAAAUCAUCAUGCCCUUUAUGACUUGGGUCUACACUACGUACCUACUAAUGGCGUUAUAACAACAGAGCAACGCAUAGAGCCAGCGACGGUCGGAGCGAAAAGCUCAGUAAACAAGCGUCCCGAGUUCGGACUGCAGGCCUGCAACUCGCCUGCACGAAGUCGGAAUUGCUAGUAAUCGUGGAUCAGCAUGCCACGGUGAAUACGUUCCCGGGCCUUGUACACACCGC
RNAcentral lists this ribosomal RNA (1052 nucleotides) under uncultured bacterium. RNAcentral describes it as "bacterial SSU rRNA". It matches the Rfam family "Bacterial small subunit ribosomal RNA", at positions 336 to 1393 of the family's 1533-position model. The record is from RNAcentral.